This 1008-nucleotide long non-coding RNA is filed under the name Heterocephalus glaber (naked mole-rat). Its description in RNAcentral is "lncRNA (ENSHGLG00100041275.1)". Lineage: Eukaryota; Metazoa; Chordata; Mammalia; Rodentia; Bathyergidae. The record is from RNAcentral.
UCUCUCAGCUUCAAGCCUGCAUCUGAAAGCCCCUCUUGUUUCCCUGAAAGCUCCCAUUCUGCACUUAAAUUGAAAAUUUUUCUAUUUAAUCAUGGACCACCCCAUUGCGACAUGGAUUUUCAUUCCCUUGAAGGCACUGUGGGCACAGCCUGCUUCACAAUAUCCCUACAAAUUUCCACACCAAAAAAGUACAAGCAUAUUUCAGUCUCCGCUCUACAAAUCCACUAGGCUCUUUUUUUCCCUGUUUGUUCUCACUCUGCCGUUCAGAGGGAAGUACUUAAAUGUGAUCAAAUAACAUUGCCUAACUGCAGAAAGUGCUAGAUCCCCCCAGCCCCCACCCUCUGCUCAGCUGUGCUGAAGGCAGGACAAGUAUCAAGAAGAAAGUCAGAUGUGCCCACCAAGAACUUCACCCACCACACCUGAGCUCUGAGUCUUCUUUUCUUUUCCUUAUUAUUUUUAUUUCCUUCACCCACCUAUUUCUAAGUCUAUUCAAAGGGUAAAAUAACUUUGAUCACAGUCAAAAAAUAUUUACCAAACUCUAAAAGAAUAAACAAUUGGAAAACAAAAUCCCUACUUACCCGCUUCCCCGACCAGCCUGCUUCCUUUCUCUUUGCUUUGCUGGGGCUGCUCCACAAAGCCACAGAGAGAAACUCUGAUAUUUAUAGUCCUGUUGUUUACCUCACCCUUCAGCUAUAGUCCAGACUCCAAUGCUAUCUCUUGCAGUGUCCUUGCAAGCAGAGUGAACCUCUGGAUUGUGAUUGUUGUUAAGUUCAAAGAAAGCAGCAAGUCCUGCCAUGCAUAAAGUGGGGGGAAACAUUUCAACAAUUAUAAAUCCAUUCCCUAUGGUUUUCAGUCACCCCAGUAUCUAGGAUUUAAUGGUACAGUCGGAGGCGGGAGGAAGUUCAAAGGGCCUCCAAGUCCUGCUCUUUUCCAAAAUAUAAUAGGGAAAAAACAUUUGCUGAGCCAGCAAGUUAUCCUGGUGUAUUUUCUUUUAAUCUGUUUUUCCUU